RNAcentral lists this ribosomal RNA (457 nucleotides) under Klebsiella variicola. RNAcentral's name for it is "partial 23S ribosomal RNA". It matches the Rfam family "Bacterial large subunit ribosomal RNA", at positions 911 to 1365 of the family's 2925-position model. Lineage: Bacteria; Pseudomonadati; Pseudomonadota; Gammaproteobacteria; Enterobacterales; Enterobacteriaceae. The record is from RNAcentral.
UGUUUCGGCUAGGGGGUCAUCCCGACUUACCAACCCGAUGCAAACUACGAAUACCGAAGAAUGUUAUCACGGGAGACACACGGCGGGUGCUAACGUCCGUCGUGAAGAGGGAAACAACCCAGACCGCCAGCUAAGGUCCCAAAGUCAUGGUUAAGUGGGAAACGAUGUGGGAAGGCACAGACAGCCAGGAUGUUGGCUUAGAAGCAGCCAUCAUUUAAAGAAAGCGUAAUAGCUCACUGGUCGAGUCGGCCUGCGCGGAAGAUGUAACGGGGCUAAACCAUGCACCGAAGCUGCGGCAGCGACACUAUGUGUUGUUGGGUAGGGGAGCGUUCUGUAAGCCUGCGAAGGUGGCCUGUGAGGGCUGCUGGAGGUAUCAGAAGUGCGAAUGCUGACAUAAGUAACGAUAAAGCGGGUGAAAAGCCCGCUCGCCGGAAGACCAAGGGUUCCUGUCCAACGU